GUGCCAGCAGCCGCGGUAAUACGGAGGGUGCAAGCGUUACUCGGAAUCACUGGGCGUAAAGCGCAUGUAGGCGGACUUACAAGUCAGGUGUGAAAUCCUAUGGCUCAACCAUAGAACAGCACUUGAAACUGUAAGUCUAGAGUUCGGGAGAGGCAGAUGGAAUUUCCGGUGUAGGGGUAAAAUCCGUAGAGAUCGGAAGGAAUACCUAUUGCGAAGGCGAUCUGCUGGAACGCAACUGACGCUCAGAUGCGAAAGCGUGGGUAGCAAACAGGAUUAGAUACCCUGGUAGUCCACGCCCUAAACGAUGGAUGCUAGUUGUUGGGGAGCCAGUCUCUUCAGUAAUGCAGCUAACGCAUUAAGCAUCCCGCCUGGGGAGUACGGUCGCAAGAUUAAAACUCAAAGGAAUAGACGGGGACCCGCACAAGCGGUGGAGCAUGUGGUUUAAUUCGAAGAUACGCGAAGAACCUUACCUGGGCUUGACAUCCUAAGAACUUUGUAGAGAUACAUUGGUGCUAGCUUGCUAGAACUUAGUGACAGGUGCUGCACGGCUGUCGUCAGCUCGUGUCGUGAGAUGUUGGGUUAAGUCCCGCAACGAGCGCAACCCCCGUCCUUAGUUGCUAACGGUUCGGCCGAGAACUCUAAGGAGACUGCCUUCGUAAGGAGGAGGAAGGUGGGGACGACGUCAAGUCAUCAUGGCCCUUAUGCCCAGGGCAACACACGUGCUACAAUGGGGUGUACAGAGAGAAGCAAUACUGCGAAGUGGAGCAAAUCUCUAAAGCAUCUCUUGGUUCGGAUUGCUCUCUGCAACUCGAGAGCAUGAAGCCGGAAUCGCUAGUA
This 837-nucleotide ribosomal RNA is filed under the name uncultured organism. RNAcentral describes it as "bacterial SSU rRNA". It matches the Rfam family "Bacterial small subunit ribosomal RNA", at positions 505 to 1340 of the family's 1533-position model. The record is from RNAcentral.